AGCUAUCUAUCUUCAUUAUACAAUAAUAUUAUGAUAUGAGGGUCACCUGGGAGGUUAAAUUUUAUGAAAUACUAUAAAUGCCCUUCCUAGAAGUUUCUUAAUUUUAGCAUGAAGUAAAAUGGAGGGAAAGAAGAGUCACGUGACUCUCAAGUGACCAUCUCCUUCCAUACUACUUUCUUUUCCAUCAGAUCUCUAUGCUCCAUCAGACACAGUGAAGGAGAUGAUGGAGUAAAGAAGAGGG
RNAcentral lists this long non-coding RNA (241 nucleotides) under Elaeis guineensis (African oil palm). RNAcentral describes it as "long non-coding RNA (EGUI_LNC073391)". The record is from RNAcentral. Lineage: Eukaryota; Viridiplantae; Streptophyta; Magnoliopsida; Arecales; Arecaceae.